GAUGUUGGUUAAGUCCCGCAACGAGCGCAACCCUUAUCUUUAAUUGCCAGCAUUCAGUUGGGCACUUUAAAGAGACUGCCGGUGUUAAACCGGAGGAAGGUGGGGAUGACGUCAAGUCCUCAUGGCCUUUAUGCUUAGGGCUACACACGUGCUACAAUGGGUGGUACAAAGAGAAGCCAACUCGCGAGAGCGCGCCAAUCUCAAAAAGCCAUCCUCAGUUCGGAUUGGAGUCUGCAACUCGACUCCAUGAAGUUGGAAUCGCUAGUAAUCGCGGAUCAGCACGCCCGCGGUCCGAAUACGUUCCGGGCCUU
This 311-nucleotide ribosomal RNA is filed under the name uncultured Smithella sp. RNAcentral describes it as "bacterial SSU rRNA". It matches the Rfam family "Bacterial small subunit ribosomal RNA", at positions 1071 to 1382 of the family's 1533-position model. Lineage: Bacteria; Pseudomonadati; Thermodesulfobacteriota; Syntrophia; Syntrophales; Smithellaceae. The record is from RNAcentral.